Molecule: ribosomal RNA, 450 nt
Filed under: uncultured bacterium
Lineage: Bacteria
Description: SSU rRNA
Rfam family: Bacterial small subunit ribosomal RNA
Source: RNAcentral
AGAGCGAACGCUGGCGGCAUGCUUAACACAUGCAAGUCGCACGGGCAGGGGAAACCCUGUCAGUGGCGGACGGGUGAGUAACGCGUAGGUAUCUAUCCUUGGGUGGGGGACAACGGCUGGAAACGGCUGCUAAUACCGCAUGAUGACCGAGGUCUAAAGGCGCAAGUCGCCUGGGGAGGAGCCUGCGUACGAUUAGCUUGUUGGUGGGGUAAAGGCCUACCAAGGCUACGAUCGUUAGCUGGUCUGAGAGGAUGAUCAGCCACAUUGGGACUGAGACACGGCCCAAACUCCUACGGGAGGCAGCAGUGGGGAAUAUUGGACAAUGGGCGCAAGCCUGAUCCAGCAAUGCCGCGUGUGUGAAGAAGGUCUUCGGAUUGUAAAGCACUUUCGACGGGGACGAUGAUGACGGUACCCGUAGAAGAAGCCCGGCUACUUCGUGCCAGCAGCCGC